RNAcentral lists this ribosomal RNA (491 nucleotides) under Bolitoglossa occidentalis. Its description in RNAcentral is "partial 12S ribosomal RNA". It matches the Rfam family "Bacterial small subunit ribosomal RNA", at positions 769 to 1506 of the family's 1533-position model. Lineage: Eukaryota; Metazoa; Chordata; Amphibia; Caudata; Plethodontidae. The record is from RNAcentral.
AAACUGGGAUUAGAUACCCCACUAUGCCGAGCCGUAAACUUUGGACCUAUUCCCGCCCGAGUAUUACGAGCCAUAGCUUAAAACUCAAAGGACUUGGCGGUGCCUUACAUCCACCUAGAGGAGCCUGUUCUAUAAUUGAUAACCCCCAAUAAACCUCACCCCCUCUUGCAAAUACAGCCUAUAUACCACCGUCAUCGCCAACCUCAUUAGAGAAUAAUAGUAGGCCAAAUAAUUAAAAAUUAAAAAGUCAGGUCAAGGUGUAGCAAAUGAGCCGGAAGUAAAUGGGCUACAUUUCCUUUAAAGGAAACACGAAAUACUUUAUGAAACAAGGAACGAAGGAGGAUUUAGUAGUAAAAAGAAAAUAGAGUGUUCUUUUUAAAUUGGCAAUAAGGCGAGCACACACCGCCCGUCACCCUCUUAAAUAUACUACAAAUAAAAUAUGUAACCAAUUCAUUAAAGUAGAGGAAAGUCGUAACAUGGUAAAGCGCACA